GUAGGGAAUAUUGGACAAUGGGGGGAACCCUGAUCCAGCCAUGCCGCGUGUGUGAAGAAGGCCUUUUGGUUGUAAAGCACUUUAAGUGGGGAGGAGGCUUACCUGGUUAAUACCUGGGCUAAGUGGACGUUACCCACAGAAUAAGCACCGGCUAACUCUGUGCCAGCAGCCGCGGUAAUACAGAGGGUGCGCGCGUUAAUCGGAUUUACUGGGCUUAAAGCGCGCGUAGGUGGUUAAUUAAGUCAAAUGUGAAAUCCCCGGGCUUAACUUGGGAAUUGCAUUCGAUACUGGUUGGCUAGAGUAUGGGAGAGGAUGGUAGAAUUCCAGGUGUAGCGGUGAAAUGCGUAGAGAUCUGGAGGAAUACCGAUGGCGAAGGCAGCCAUCUGGCCUAAUACUGACACUGAGGUGCGAAAGCAUGGGGAGCAAACAGGAUUAGAAACCCGGGUAGUCC
RNAcentral lists this ribosomal RNA (451 nucleotides) under uncultured bacterium. Its description in RNAcentral is "bacterial SSU rRNA". It matches the Rfam family "Bacterial small subunit ribosomal RNA", at positions 354 to 796 of the family's 1533-position model. The record is from RNAcentral.